This 497-nucleotide ribosomal RNA is filed under the name Streptococcus intermedius. Its description in RNAcentral is "bacterial SSU rRNA". It matches the Rfam family "Bacterial small subunit ribosomal RNA", at positions 28 to 500 of the family's 1533-position model. The record is from RNAcentral. Lineage: Bacteria; Bacillati; Bacillota; Bacilli; Lactobacillales; Streptococcaceae.
GACGAACGCUGCGGCGUGCCUAAUACAUGCAAGUAGAACGCACAGGAUGCACCGUAGUUUACUACACCGUAUUCUGUGAGUUGCGAACGGGUGAGUAACGCGUAGGUAACCUGCCUGGUAGCGGGGGAUAACUAUUGGAAACGAUAGCUAAUACCGCAUAAGAACAUUUACUGCAUGGUAGAUGUUUAAAAGGUGCAAAUGCAUCACUACCAGAUGGACCUGCGUUGUAUUAGCUAGUAGGUGAGGUAACGGCUCACCUAGGCGACGAUACAUAGCCGACCUGAGAGGGUGAUCGGCCACACUGGGACUGAGACACGGCCCAGACUCCUACGGGAGGCAGCAGUAGGGAAUCUUCGGCAAUGGGGGGAACCCUGACCGAGCAACGCCGCGUGAGUGAAGAAGGUUUUCGGAUCGUAAAGCUCUGUUGUUAAGGAAGAACGAGUGUGAGAAUGGAGAGUUCAUACUGUGACGGUACUUAACCAGAAAGGGACGGCUAA